UAGGGAUUUUCUAGAAGGCCUAAGGUGUGU
RNAcentral lists this non-coding RNA (30 nucleotides) under Mus musculus (house mouse). The record is from RNAcentral. Lineage: Eukaryota; Metazoa; Chordata; Mammalia; Rodentia; Muridae.